This 1465-nucleotide small RNA is filed under the name Pan troglodytes (chimpanzee). RNAcentral's name for it is "processed transcript". The record is from RNAcentral. Lineage: Eukaryota; Metazoa; Chordata; Mammalia; Primates; Hominidae.
GAGCUAUUACUAACUUCUCCAUUUGAUUUUUUAUGGAUGUGAAAAAUGCUGCUACUUGUCUAUGUUAUUAUGUGGUAUUUGUUCUCUUGGAUUGAAAUUUAUGCCCACAGAUUUUUCUUUUCAUUUGAAAAUGAAUGUGAAGAUACUGUUUACAGCUUUUGUUAAUUGCAGUUUUCAUCACUCUGAUCAAUUUCUUGUAAAGUGCUAUGGGAAUUAUUUUUCCUGUGAAUAUUAAUGAUUUUACUACUGCCUCCAAAGUUUUAAAAAAGGUUCUGUAGACAGAAAACAGUUGUUGCAACCAAAAACAACCAAAAAAAGAAAAGGAAAACUGGCUUACCUUUCUCAGAUGAAUUAAAUGAUUUUAAUAACUUCCCAAUUACCAGGGUUAUAACGUUGCUUUCUUCAGUUAUUAAUACAGUCAAAUUAAUUUUAACAAUAUAAGCACAAUUCAUUUACAAAUUCAGUACAGUAGUCCAGGGCUACAUGUAAGUGGUCUCUAUUUUAUUCUUUACAUCAGAAAAAUCAUGAAUGUCAGUUUUGCCAGUAUUUUACAAUGAGGCUUAUCGUUUAAAAUUUUAUAGUGUAUGACAUGUAAAUAAACCAGUAUUUAUUGUAGGUUGUUUGAUUCAGGCAUUUCAAAUGGAUAUAGGUUAAUGGCAAUGGAAUCCUAUUUAUUUGGUAGUUGGUUUUGUUUUUGUUUAUUUACUUUUGCUAUUUGUUUUGUAUUGUCUAAACUUUGCUUCAACUGAAGACAGUGUAAGGAGUUGAAAAUACAAUCAACAUAGCAAUGGAAAGCAAUGCAAAGAGGGUAAAUCUUGUUUUAAUUUUUUUAACUUUUUUUUUUUUGUAAAUAAAUAGUACUGUGAUACUUUAGGUGUGACCUUCUAUUCCACAUGAUAGUUAGAACCAGAAAAACACUUUUGCUUUCUAGUUGUACUAUUGGUUCAUUGUAAAUGCAUUACCAAAAGACAAUAUGAAAAAGAGCAAGAUUAAGUUUUUCUAACAUUGUCCACUUCAGGGGCAAGCAUGCUUGGUAUAGAGCUCUAGCUUGUGUAUACCUUAAACUGUAACUUGCAGGUGUUUUUCAGUUGCUGCACUUUUUAUUUAAUCUUGCUCAGUCCCAGUAACUAUCUCAAAGGUAAUUGCUGGAAUAUGCAUUUUGAAAUACGGUUUAAAAAAAAUCUGUGUAUUGUUUCAUCUAAAAAGAAAAGCACUAUUGCAAACACUAAAAACGUGUUAAACUUUGUAGUUAUUUUGCAUUCCUGUACUUUACAAACUGUCAUCACAGCAAAAAGUUUAAAAUUAGGUAAUGAAAUAUUUUUGUAAAUAAAUACCGUUAAGCUGGUAUUUUAAAAAAUGUAUUAUAAAUUAAUGUUUCUGGAAAAUGUUCAUAUAUAUGUAUAUGAAUGUCUCUUUAUGCUGAAGGGCUCUGAUUGGGCAAAAUAAAAUACUCUAAUCUCUCCUG